This 497-nucleotide ribosomal RNA is filed under the name uncultured bacterium. RNAcentral describes it as "partial 16S ribosomal RNA". It matches the Rfam family "Bacterial small subunit ribosomal RNA", at positions 28 to 507 of the family's 1533-position model. The record is from RNAcentral.
GAUGAACGCUGGCGGCGUGCCUAAUACAUGCAAGUCGAGCGAACAGACGAGGAGCUUGCUCCUCUGACGUUAGCGGCGGACGGGUGAGUAACACGUGGAUAACCUACCUAUAAGACUGGGAUAACUUCGGGAAACCGGAGCUAAUACCGGAUAACAUGUUGAACCGCAUGGUUCAACAGUGAAAGACGGUCUUGCUGUCACUUAUAGAUGGAUCCGCGCCGCAUUAGCUAGUUGGUAAGGUAACGGCUUACCAAGGCAACGAUGCGUAGCCGACCUGAGAGGGUGAUCGGCCACACUGGAACUGAGACACGGUCCAGACUCCUACGGGAGGCAGCAGUGGGGAAUCUUCGGCAAUGGGCGAAAGCCUGACGGAGCAACGCCGCGUGAGUGAAGAAGGUCUUCGGAUCGUAAAACUCUGUUAUUAGGGAAGAACAAAUGUGUAAGUAACUAUGCACGUCUUGACGGUACCUAAUCAGAAAGCCACGGCUAACUACGUG